GUAGGUCCCGAUUCAUGGUUCGAUUAUGUCCUUAUCGGUGUCUGGUGAAGGAUUCUGUUGAGGAUUAAACAUGGAGAAUGGUCAUGAAUUACUCAGCAAUGGAAAACCAGCUGAUCCUGGUCUCCAAAUUAUUAGGCACCCCUCUUACCAAUCAUCUUGUGGUAAAUUAUUGUUAUCCUGGUUAGAUAUAAGAGUUUUCUAUAUUAGAGUCAGCAAUUUUAUGGUAGAUGAUUCCACCCCGGAAUAUCUUACUCUCAACCACAUUCCUCUAAGUCCCGAUACAUUGCUUGAAGUUAAUGGAACAAGAUGUUCCAUGUAUUCAGAAGGAGCAUCUUGUCUCCUUCGAAGGGAUAGGGUUGAUAAGAAAUCCGAAGAAGCUACAUUUGUGAGCACGGAUAGUAUAAGGUUGACAGGAAGUGUGAAAUUUGAGGUUUUCAAUAAAGAUGAUCUUGUGCUCUCGGGUUUUUUAGAGAUGUCGAAUAGUAAUGGUUUUGUUGGGGAGUCUAAAAACAGUGGCAAGAGAUGGAACAUGAAUUGUGAAUCGGUGAUGAAUGCUGGCACUGGUUUCCUGAAGGGUAAACAAAUUAUGGAUUCUGAAUCAUUUUCACCAACAAUUGAAGUCUUUAUUACUGGUUGCUUCUCCGGGACACCUAUCAUCUUGACCAAGAGUUUGCAGCUCAAUCAUCGGAAGAAGCACAACAGGAAGGGUAUGUUGCACUCAAUCCCGGAGCAUGAAACAGAUGAGCAGCAGAAAGAUGUCUCAUCUGAACUUGAUCUGCAGGUUACAGAGUAUAGAAAGUAUGAACUAGAAAGCGAAGAAGACUACAACAUGUAUUGGAGACAAACGGAAUAUAUGGAUGGUGAAGAUGGGGAACUGUCCUGGUUCAAUGCUGGGGUCCGUGUUGGUGUAGGGAUCGGUCUUGGCAUUUGCGUAGGAGUUGGAAUAGGAGUUGGCCUGUUAGUCCGCACCUACCAGACUACUACGAGGAACUUCAGAAGGCUUGUGUGAUUAUGUAGCGUUUGCUGCAUUUGUUUUUGCAUAGACCAAACGGCUAACAACAGAUAUAUGUUUGUCUUGAGAGUGUGAAUUCUGCUCAUUAGACAGUUUCAGUGUAGCUAACCAUCAUACAUUUUCGUGUUAACUUACUUCCUGCUAGCUUUUCGUCUUCCCAUGCCCCAUCCCCGUGUUAAGUUAAGUCUCUUUGUACCUCCUUGUUUUGGAUUUAGGUGUGCAAACUCUUACUGUUGUAGAUGUUCCAUUCUGUUGCUGAG
Molecule: unclassified non-coding RNA, 1272 nt
Filed under: Hevea brasiliensis (rubber tree)
Lineage: Eukaryota; Viridiplantae; Streptophyta; Magnoliopsida; Malpighiales; Euphorbiaceae
Source: RNAcentral